This 461-nucleotide ribosomal RNA is filed under the name uncultured bacterium. Its description in RNAcentral is "partial 16S ribosomal RNA". It matches the Rfam family "Bacterial small subunit ribosomal RNA", at positions 338 to 795 of the family's 1533-position model. The record is from RNAcentral.
CCUACGGGUGGCAGCAGUGAGGAAUAUUGGUCAAUGGGCGAGAGCCUGAACCAGCCAAGUCGCGUGAGGGAAGACGGUCCUAUGGAUUGUAAACUUCUUUUGUCGGGGAGCAAAAAUGCCUCGUUAGGCCACAAGUCAGAGUACCCGAAGAACAAGCAUCGCCUAACUCCGUGCCAGCAGCCGCGGUAAUACGGAGGAUGCGAGCGUUAUCCGGAUUUAUUGGUUGUAAAGGGAGCGUAGGCCGCAUGUCAAGCGUGCUGUGAAUGGUCCGGGCUCACCCCGGGCGUUGCAGCGGGAACUGGGGAGCUUGAGUGCGGGGAAGGAAGGCGGAAUUCGUGGUGUAGCGGUGAAAUGCUUAGAUAUGACGAAGAACCCCGAUUGCGAAGGCAGCUUGCUGGAGCGUAACUGACGCUGAGGCUCGAAAGCGCGGGUAUCGAACAGGAUUAGAUACCCGGGUAGUC